Non-coding RNA from Xyrichtys novacula (pearly razorfish), 1901 nucleotides. Lineage: Eukaryota; Metazoa; Chordata; Actinopteri; Labriformes; Labridae. The record is from the annotation of a GenBank genome assembly.
GUCAAGUCUCUUAUAUGAGUUUGAGUCGCUGUCAUUAACACUGAAAUACUCCUUAGAAGAGCUUUAAGAACACACAAAAUGUUCUUUAACGCAUUAACUUCAAGAAAAUACAACAUUAAAGAAAUAUCAGGAUUUUCACGCAGAGCUUUAUCAUAGGCGCUUGACGAGACUAUGCUAUAGGUCACAUGUUCUAAGGCUGAACGCAAGAUUAAUUAUCUUGUGUUUUCUCCCUAGGAGUCACUGAGGAACCACGCUAACUAAAAACAGUGUGACUCCCAGCCCAAGGACGUUCCUGGGACCGCUCCUGAAAAAGACGGCAUACGGACGUUCCUCGCCCAAAGGGUUAACGCUGAUGGAAAACAAACAAACACGUCCAUAAAUAGGUGCUUUCCCUGGAAGAAAGACUUUAUACGCUACCAGCUCAUUUGGAAUUCAGCUGAAUGUCUCCCACAAUGGUCCGACAUACAGGGCUGACGAUGGGGGGUAAAUUAGAGCUUGGAGAUGAAUUAUCAAACGAUUAAAGAAAAAAAAGGGAGGCUGAGCCAAAGGGAAACAGAGCACAGAUAAUAUUGGCAAUGAUUUUGGAGACGCUUAUGUCUGUCUGUGUCGAACAGUUUGUAUUCUGGUUAGUUUUGUCUUCAUUUUAGGUGCAUUAUGAUCUGGAACAUAAUGUCUCUUUCGUAAAAAUGUGAUUAAAUAUUAAAAAGCAGCUCUUUUAAUGAAGUCAAGAGAGACGACAGUGAGACCAGAAAAAUGGCUAGAGGAUGUGUGUCCAUUCCCACCCUCCUCCUCCUCUCACUCCACCCUGCUCUCCGUGUUCCUACGAUAUUCAUUUUGAUUUCAAUUAAAGAUCCUGAGUGUGACUCUCGCAGAGAAAUUGCCUCUCUUUAAUUAGGUAGUCUAAGUUCAUGGAAGCAAUUGUUGUUUCCCCAGCACUUUCAAUUUGAUGAGCCAAGGACUCUCAUUUUAUAGCUAUGAAUGAAUAUGGUUUCAUACCCCUCAGGUUCCAUGUCCUGCUAACUGUCUGGAGAAUAUUACUUGUGUGUUUCUCAUUAGUGUAUUUGUGCUGAUGUGUGUGUGUGUCUUCUGGCCUGCAGGUGGGCUCCUCCAUCUGUGAUGAAGAGGACCACAUGGUGCGGUGCAGGCUGCUGCCCGCUGGUCAAUAAUCUAUUACAGGACGUUCCUCCUCCUCCUCUAUGUGACUAAUGCACUGCACAGAGACGGCCUCCCAGAGGUUAAUGCUGCUCAGCUGACCCCGGUCCCCUCUGACAAACACUGUCAAUGCUCGAUUUGGGGGGAAAAGCUCCCUCUGUGGCCAAACAUCACAUCAGCUGAGGGGUGCUGGUAGAGUCAUAUGAGAGUCCAGCUGUGUGCCAGGUAGAUAUGCCUACAAAACCAACACCAACAUUUCUUGCCAGUUUUUGGUGGGUCUUAGUCCAUCCAGCCUAUCCCAGCAUCUUCGGGCGAAGGCAGGGGACACCCUGGACACAUCGCCAGUUCAUCGCAGGGCUGACAUAUAGGAAAGAACAACCAUCCACGCUCACAUUCACACCUAUGGGCAAUUUGAAAGUGGCCAAUCAACGUAACCACGCUUAGGCAUGUUUUUGGGAUGUGGGAGGAAACCGGAGUACCCGGAGUAAACCCACGCAGACACAGGGAGAACAUCAAGCAGUGUUAAAUACAUUUGUCCCAAUCAAAUCAACAUGUAAAUCAAAUAAAGUGAGGGAUCGAGUGAGGCUACUACUGGUAGAGCUAGCACCACCAGCCUUGAGUACUCCCUACAGGUCAAUGCUUUAACGUCUGUGUUUGUUAAAUAUCACUGUGAUUUAAUUGUUAUAAGCCAGUGUAACCAACUUACACACAACUUUUUCCCCAUUUUCUCAUGAAAAAUACUCCCAAAU